Molecule: long non-coding RNA, 1707 nt
Filed under: Mus musculus (house mouse)
Lineage: Eukaryota; Metazoa; Chordata; Mammalia; Rodentia; Muridae
Description: long non-coding RNA chr2:53877773-53879480
Source: RNAcentral
UUUAGUUAACAUUUUUCCUAGCAAUGACAUUUCCCAUGAUUGUUUCCCAGGGCACAUUAUAGUGCUUUAAAAGACCAGAGCCAAUGGUUUUUGUGGUCAUAUUACAAAGGCUCUCUGUUAGAAGGAAUAGUAGUUAGUAAAAGGGGUGUUAAUGAAGGCAGAAAACUCCAUCACGUUUUUGUCUGUGAAAAGAGAAAAGGGUAUCUUUUUUUAAACAAGUCUAUUUUAAAAUAGUGUGAUAUGUAACACCUUUACUAAGAGUCGUAAUUUGUUGGGACUCACUUGAAAUGUUAGACAUAACAGUUUCUUUCCUUGUUGAGAUAUAGUCCCACAAAGACUCUAGGUAGCAUUAAAUGUGGGGCAGUGAUCAGCAUGCUGUGGUGAUAUGCAAGGAUCAUCAAGUUCAGUGCCUGGACCACAGAAAAUAGACAGCAGGAAGCUGAUGCUAGAGAAGCAGAGGUGGGUAAGGAGGCAGAUAAGUGAGGAGAUGGUGUUUUGGACGAUGCUUAGAGGGCAUAUUAAAGGAACAAACAUGAAUAUAAAGAGCCCACUAACGAGGUUGCUAUAGGCAUCCUAAGGAUAGAAAUAUAGUCAGGACUAGGACAAUUGACCACAACAGUGAAAAAUGUAAGGAUGUAGAAUCAUCAUAAAUUACAGAAAAUGGAAGAAAAAGUGUUCCAUGACCCUAGUACUAAAAUACAACCACUAAAAUUUCCAUCAUAUGUUUUUAUAUAUUGAUGUAUUUGUAUUGUUAUGGGUAUAAUGAUCAUUUAUCUUAUACUAACAGAACCUAGGGAGAACUAUGAAGUAGGUAGUCUUUCUUUUCACAGUCUAGGGUUUUUUGUUUGUUUGUUUGGUUGGUUAGUUGGUUGAUUGGUUGGUGGUUUAUUUGUUUUGUUUUGUUUUGUUUUUGUGAUACGGCUUCUAUCCAUCACUUAGUUCUUGAUUUCUCUUCCUCAGGUUCUCAAUAUCUUCCUUUAAAUCCACCCACUUUAUCCAGCUCUGCCUUCUAGCUCCUUUAAUUCUUGUACCAUCAAUAAGGCAUCUUUCCAGAUACAGCAAUGGGAUAAAUAAUGCACCCCCCAAAGUAUCCACAUCCUACUAUGUGAAAAACAUUACCAAAUAAUCUUCCAUGACAAAAUGGAUUGUAAAGAUGACUUAGGAGUUGGAGAUUGCCCGGUAAAUUAUAAUUGGCUCAAUGUAACCACAAAAAGAUGGAAAAGGGAAGACAGAACAGACUUGUAUGAAUAUGGGAUAGAUUUGAGUUUGUGAUCAUAUUCUUUUAGAAGAUAUAGAAAGUAGCAUGAAUCAAGGAUUGUAGGUUCUCUCUUUUAUCUGCACAGGUAAGUGAGUUUAUUCUCUCCUAGAACUCCAGGAGGAAGAUAGCCUUAUCAACAAGCUAGUAUUAGCUCAUGAUACCCAAUUUGGGCAUAUGACUCAUAGGACUGUAAAAUAAACUUUUUGUUGCUUUAAUCCACACAUUUAAGCUAACUCAUCCUAACAACAAUAAGGAACCAUGACAAUUAUUUAUUGUAAAGAAUCUUAUGGGUUUACUUUUAAAUAGAUUAUUUAAUUAACAAAGUUUAAUUUAUUCUUUUUCUUAACUCAAAAGAAUUAACUUUUAUGUUGUAGUUUCAGGAACCAGUCUGGUGGGAGAGAUGUCUGAAACUGAAGGCAGGCAGGCAAAUGGCAUGUGUGUGAGAUGUG